This 6308-nucleotide long non-coding RNA is filed under the name Sus scrofa (pig). RNAcentral's name for it is "lncRNA (ENSSSCG00000052935.1)". The record is from RNAcentral. Lineage: Eukaryota; Metazoa; Chordata; Mammalia; Artiodactyla; Suidae.
AUACUAUUUUCCUAAACUAAACUAAAGGGAAAUGUUUCUCCUUUGACCAUCAAUCACAAACUAAAGUCUUAAGUUUUGGUGUCUAAAUAAGCAACUGUAAAUAGAUACAAGUCUUCAAAUGAAAGCCUAGAAAAAUUUAAUAUUUAUUCAUCACUUUAAAAUACAUAUACAAAGACAAAUAACAUUAGAAACAAAUGUAUUUACAUAGGUAAGUUUGAGGACUAUUUUUCUUUGUAAGUGAAGAUUAUAUCUAAGGUUGCAAGAAUUUCAUGAGCGAAUGUACAUAAAGUACUUGCCCCAGGGCCUGGCACCUAGAACCACUCAAAUGAGAAUGAUCACCUAUUAUGAUAUCAUCACUGCAGUGAGGCCAAUCCCAUUAUGCUAUAUCAUCGUUAUAAACACUGUGAGGUUUUGUUUUUGCUUUUCACUUAAGACUGGUACAGUCUAAUUAUUUGUCUAAAAAGACACGUCAUACCAUUAAUCUAUUUAAGUUUUGGAAACGGUAGUUGAAGUUUAUCAAACAAAAGGCCUCUCCCUCAAUAGUCCCAGUACUGAAAAUGAGUCAAGAAACGUGGAAGCUAAGGACUGAAAGAGCGCUCUUUUAAGCCAUUACGCCUUCUAUUGCUAAGGGAUUCCCCGUCUGCUCAGCCUCACCUCUGCCAAACCAUCGUGCCCAUCCCAUCCCCUUCUGGAUUAAGAGGGAUCCCAGAAAGUGCCAGAGGAAGCCAGCUCUACUUGACAGCUCAUUAACCAGGCUCAUCUUGCUGUCUCUUUCCAAAGAGUGUGAAAUAAUUUGCCAUUUUUUCAGGCUAAUUAUUAUUCCCUCUUAGGACUGUUUGUACUACAAACUCCACACUUCUCUCUACUUUCCCUGCUUAAUCUCAAUUCUAUAUGAGGCUUUUUUUUUUUUUCCUCAGAUAAAAGUUUGAAAAUACUGCAAUGGCUUCAUCAUAUGCAUCACUUUGGUUCACAAGGAUCCUGUAAAUACUGCUCUUACCUCAUUUUAAUUUUUAGAGCCCCACCCCCACCCCUUGAGGGUCUAUCACAAAGUUUGGUAAAGAUUAAGUAAUGCGUAGUGAUUUACCAAUAACAUUUACGGAAAGAAUGUGGCUAUGCUACCUGAGUUUCUGAAUGUCUUAAAUUUGAUGUUCUUCUGUACUCAGUUCUAGGCUUCCUUAUCUUUCCCAUUGUAUCAGCUGUCUUACCCUUCUACUUGUUUCAGUUAUGAUUGAUGUGCUGAUGACUUCGACUAUCUAUUUCCAGUCUAGUCCUUUAUCUAGAGCACAAAGUACUCGUCUCCUAUCAUCUAGCUGCUCUUGGAUAGCCCACAGAUCCUUCAACUCCAUCAUCUUCCUUCCAAACCUGAUUUUCUCCAUUUCUUAUAUCUUCAAUGGAACCACUGAAAUCAUCCACCAGGACUACAAACUAGAGAGAAAUGUUGCCUCUGUUUUAAUCUAUACAUCUAGUCAGUUGAAUCCUACUGAUUUUACCUCUCAAAUAUUUUCUUCUUCUUUCUACCUGUGUGUAAGACCACUGCUUUCCUUAAUCUUGGCCACUACAAUCUCUAACCCAGAUUCUUUGAGGAACCUCAUAAGUGGCCUCAAUAACUCUAGUCCUGCCCUUCUUUCUCUACACUGGAGUCAGGAUGACCUUUCCAAACAAACAUCUAUGAUGUCUAAUAACAGAAAGGGAAAUACAAAAAAUGGGAUUAGUACCGAUUGAGGAGAAUGCUGAAGGGGUGUAUUAGAGUCUUUAAAGCUUGUCAGAUCAAUUGGGGGUCCAGAAGAAAAGGUAGCUGAGACUCACUGAGGGCUCUUCAAAGAACUGCUUGAAAAAUGACAAAGAUGAUAAGGAUGAUGAUGGUAAUGAAGAUGAAAUAAAAAGGGGAUGUGUAAGGUCUUACCUCAUGAAAGCAGACCAGUGAAGAGGUAGAUAAAUUGGGAAGUAGGGGGUUAGAUUCAUGGAAAUCAAUCCUUCUUUAGGACUUGCCCAAGUAUGGGAGGGGAGGCCAUAAUAAAUCUGUGUCCAAACAGAAGCAGCAUGUGGGCAGAUGUCCAUCCUCCAGGACUCCUGACCUCCUAGGUGAUGACUAGAACAGCAGAGGUGCAGGCUGUGUAGAGGAAUAGGUGAAGACAGCUUUCUUCUCCUGGAUGUCUGAUAGAUUUGGGGAAGGAGUAAUACCAAUGGGUGCUGAAAAAGUAGGAAUCAGGGCCAUAGCAAAGCAGACUGAGAUAUAAGGUAGGGCUCUACCUAGAGUGUAGGCGGGGACAUAGAGAAGAGAAUUAUGAUUUAAAAAUGAGUGCAAAACUGACUUGUGAAUAUAAGUAAAAAAGCUCUCUUUAGACACACUGGAUAUCAUUUGAUAAAGAAUGAAUGGGCCUGGUCUAAAGGUAAUGGACCACAGUGCCUAGAGCUGGAUAGAAAAGGGUGGAAUACAUACUGAUGGAGUAACAAAUAAAUCCACUCUUAGGUACAGGAAAUGCUUCUUGAAAGCCUACUUGCACAAAAGACACUCUGGUAUCUUAACAUGUGUCAAGCCCUGAGGUAAGUACUUUACAUAUAUCUUCUCAUUAAAAUUUUACUAAUUUCGUAGUUUGGAAAAUAUAGUUAUUUUUCAUAAAGAUAUAUUAUUUGUUUAUAAUGGACUUAUAAUUAUUAUUUGAAGUGAAUCAAUCAAUAAGUAUUUGGGGGGACCUGCUUAUAGCACAGAAAAUUCUACCUGAUAUCCUGUGAUAAUCUAUAUGGGAAAAGAAUCUGAAGAAGAAUGGAUAUGUAUAACUGAGUCACUUUCUUGUACAGUAGAAAUUAACACAACAUUGUAAAUCAACUAUACUUCAAUCAAACUGUAAAAAAUGAAAAAAAAAAGCAUCUUUCUCAUUGCAUAAGGUUUUUUGUUUUGUUUUUGGCUGUGCCAACAGCACACUGAAAUUCCCAGGCCAGGGAUCAACUCUUCACCACAGCAGUGACAAUGCCAGAUCCUUAACCUGCUGAGCCACCAGGGAACUCCUCAUUGCUUCAUUUUAAUGACUAAUACGAAUCGAAAUAGUAGCAAUAUUAGCAACAGAUAUAACCUACAGACACAAAAGCUCUUUAGAACUCUCAAUAACUUUUAGGAAUAUAGAGGGAUAUUGAGGCCCCAAAUUUAAGAAUCAGGGUCUUUAUCACAAGUUUAUCACGAUGGCUGACCAACAUAGCUGGCAAGGAGCAGUGGAGUAGCUCAAUGUGAACAAUGUGAACCAAUCUGAAAAAAAUGAAGACAGAAAUGAAGAUGAAAAAAUCAAGGCCCGUGCUCACAAUUCUGCAAAGUCAGUAGAAAAUGCCUGGUCCUCUCCUCCUGCUGUUACUACCUCUUCAACCCCCUCAAAUGAUGAAGCGCAUCCGUAGGGCACUAUUUCCAAGCACAGAGACCACAGAUGUAUAAACAACCUUCCACCUCUUUCAGGGAAGUCAGAGGAUGUGCCAGAGCUCUCAGCUCUGUUUACAUGGGGACAAGUCUCGCUCUCUCUUGCUGGUAAAAGAAUUUUGAUUUUGCCAGUGCUGCCUGGAAGGUGGGGGAGUGGAAAGUGCAUGUGAAAUAGUAUAACAAGGUUUCUUUGCCAGAGCUGCAGGACCAGGAGUGGAGUGGGAAAACGGGAAAAGGACAAGGAGGCAGCCAUCCAAGGGGGUGAUAUUGCAAAGGACAGGAGCAUAAAAUAGAUUCUCUCAACUCAGUGAUACUGCGGAGUGUUCUGUGUCACUAGAUUAUAACCAUCAGAGUAAAUUUUUAAAUGUGCCACUUACAGCAGUUACCAAAAUGAGUAAAGGCGAUCCCUUUCUCUAUUUACAUUGUGUUUAGAAGUACUAUUUCUUGGGGAAGUUUUCAGAAACCAUAGCAACUUCUCAAACCAAAUGACUACCUCAAUUUCAUAUAUUUAAACACUAGGUAUAAUUCAGUUCAAGUGAAUCUGCCAUACACUUCAGAAAAUAAUUCAAGUUUAUUGACGAUCAGGCCAGUGUAUAUUCUCUUUGGCAUCUUGUUUUUCAGCUCAUGCAUAUUAACAGGUAGGAGGUCAGUGUGAAUUUACUGAAACACAAGUCAAAACCUGGGAUGUUGAGUGUUGUAACUGUGUGAACCAACAGGCUCCCCAAAACUUGUACGGAAGGAAACUCACAACUCUAAGCACAUCUAGCAAUCCUGGGUAUGUUUUGAUGCGCCUACAUUCAAGCUUAUGCAAAUAUAUCCCCAGCUUAUAAAUAAUUGUGCUUCCCAUGCGAGUACAUGAACAGUAGGACUGCUUUAUUCAGAAUAAUGGUAGGUAACCCAUUGUAAUAAUGCAGAAACACAAGACACAAAAAAAUCCGAUGAGAUCGUUUAUCUGGUCAUCGCCUAUUUUGCACCCACCUCACUGUAAGGACAACCUUAGCAGCUUAUUCUCAAGUGGCUGUUAGUUUUCGCUAGACCUUAUUCUUCCAGAGUACUUCUGUUUUGUUUUCAACUAUUUUUCUUUUUGUUUUAACACUCCCCUUCCAUGCUUAUUUUCUGUAGGUCCUAGGUGCCAAUGCUGUUUUGGGUAUCCAGCGGUAAGUAGAAUAUUACAUUUUAGAAUCUGAAGAAACACUACUGUUACUGUUUUGUAGCAUGACUAAGAAUAAAGAAGCAGAUUUCCAGAUCAUUUAAUAUAUAUACUUUUAAAGGUAUUAGGUUCCCCAAGAUAAAGCAUUCUCAUUUUUAUUCAUAUUAAUUUCUGAAAUAGAGACAAAAAUAUCUCAAAAAACUUUCCAGGAAUGUUAUCUUUUACACUCUACUAAAAGCAUUCAUUGCCAGCUACAAAACUCACAACCUUAUUGUAUAAAAAUAGGUUCUGAAUGAAUGAAACGUAUGUAUCAAAGCAAUUAUGUAUUUUUUAGUCAUUUAGCUCACAUAUGCAUUUUAUCUUUCUUGCUUUAACUGAUGUGCCUAGAUAAAAAACAAUGAAAUGUGAAAAGAAACCACGGAGCUUGGAUUGGUUGACUGUUAUAAUACUGUUCAAAUGAUUCACUGACGAGUGGCCUUUACUUACCUUCUAUUUCUGUUUUGAUUCUCCCCUCCACUAAUAUUGGACAUUAGCAAGACUUUCUUCUGUAAAUUAUUCUGCAUGAAAACCUUCUUUAAGCUUUUUUUUUUUUUUUUUUUUUUUUUGCUUUUUAGGGCUGCACUCAAGGCAUAUGGAGUUUCCAGCCUAGGGGUCUAAUCGGAGCUACAGCAACGCAGGAUCUGACCAAGGCUGCACCUUACACCACAGUUCACGGCAAUGCCAGAUCUUAACCCACUGAGCAAGGCCAGGGAUUGAACCCGAAACCUCAUGGUUUCUAGUCGGAUUUUUCUUCUAUGCCACGACAGGGACUCCUCUUUACACUCAUGUUUUACCAGAUCAUGUCAAUUAAUCUUCCGAAGCUCUAAAGACACUGUUGUAUCUAUCUACUGGCAAAAAUCCUCUGCAAAUCAUCAAUGCUUUCCCUUUCCCUGGCUGAAUAACCAAGGCAGGAGAACAUGACUGCUUGCUACAUGGCAACACGUUUAUCUGUGAGCUUUUGGCUUCAGUGGAUUGGGAAAUUCUGCCAUGGGAAAAUGUUUCAAAGAAGUUGUUUUGCCCUCUGGAAGGGGCCCAGUUUUUGUUGUUUUCAAAACAUUAAAAUGUUUCCCAUCAGUCCUGUAAUCAAUUAUUGAGCACCUUCCAUAUUCUAUCUGGUUGUUGGCUGGACUCUAGGAAUACAAUAUGCACAAUAUAAGUAAAAUAGAGUCCUUGAUCUCAAGAUGCUCAUUGUCUGGUGAACAGAGACACAUUGAAGAUAAUUCAGUACAGGUUGUUCACAUCAAGCAUUUGGUCACACACACACUGAGACCCUUCGGUGCCAGGCACUGUGAUGAUCAUGACAGCAGAAGGGAACUUAGAGAGAAGGCCCUUGGCCCAAGAGGGCUUAGAGGUGACUUUCUGAAAGAAAUAAAAUUGAAUUGUUGUUAUUCAGAUGAAGACAAGGACUAAGGCAUUCUGGGUGAGUAAAGGGCAUAGUCCAAAGAAGAGUAGUGAAAUACCAUGGACAAUGCAGGAACUUAUGCCAUUUGUUCUUUCUAAAACAUUAAAUACUAGGUUUAGAGAAAUGACAGAUGACAUCUGAGUUCUGUGAAGGAGAAAGAGCAAAGUUAGAAAUGGUCUAGAAGCACCCAUCUUGGGAGUUCCCACUGUGGUGCAGCAGGUUAAGGAUCGCCACAGCUGUGGUAUAGGUCACAGCUGUGAUUUGGAUCUUGGAUUUGAUCCCUGGAGCAGGAACUUCCAUAUGCCAUGGGUGCG